GUAGGUGGCAAGCGUUGUCCGGAAUUAUUGGGCGUAAAGCGCGCGCAGGCGGUCCUUUAAGUCUGAUGUGAAAGCCCACGGCUCAACCGUGGAGGGUCAUUGGAAACUGGGGGACUUGAGUGCAGAAGAGAAGAGUGGAAUUCCACGUGUAGCGGUGAAAUGCGUAGAGAUGUGGAGGAACACCAGUGGCGAAGGCGACUCUUUGGUCUGUAACUGACGCUGAGGCGCGAAAGCGUGGGGAGCAAACAGGAUUAGAUACCCUGGUAGUCCACGCCGUAAACGAUGAGUGCUAAGUGUUAGAGGGUUUCCGCCCUUUAGUGCUGCAGCAAACGCAUUAAGCACUCCGCCCUGGGAGUACGGCCGCAAGGCUG
This 371-nucleotide ribosomal RNA is filed under the name uncultured organism. Its description in RNAcentral is "partial 16S ribosomal RNA". It matches the Rfam family "Bacterial small subunit ribosomal RNA", at positions 527 to 896 of the family's 1533-position model. The record is from RNAcentral.